This 545-nucleotide long non-coding RNA is filed under the name Coturnix japonica (Japanese quail). RNAcentral describes it as "lncRNA (ENSCJPG00005019673.1)". Lineage: Eukaryota; Metazoa; Chordata; Aves; Galliformes; Phasianidae. The record is from RNAcentral.
ACAAAAAAACAAAAACAAAAAAGAAGCCGUUCUGUUCGCCGUAAGGAAAGUAUUAGCAGUAAAGGACUUAAUUUUGUCUUAUAUAAGCAAACAAAAAAAUUUCUCAGGUAUGCAUGUGCUAAAAGUUCACCAUGGACCUUAUUGCUGAAUUUCUUUCAGCAUUAUUUUGCUUUAAAGCCUGCUCUCGUUUUUGAUGAUAUACUUCCAUUUGCCUUGCAGGCUACAGCAGAGAGUUAUUUUGAAUACAGGGCUAAAUGCAACAACAACAACAACAAAAUGCAAGGAGCUGGAAAGAGGAGUUAAAUCCUUUCAUUGAGGCAGAGAUUGUUAGGCAGAACUUAGCAGAUGUGAAUGGCGAAUAAGUGGAAGUCAGCAAGAAAGCCCUGGAUACUGGAAGAUCUUCAGUUGGAGACCUGAAGGUAAGUGCUUCCAGGGAGAAACAGAGAAAAUUGUCCCCAGUUAUGUAGGGAUAUGGUCAUCAUACCAGCCUCCUAGUUCCAUCACUACAUCUCUGGGCAUUGACAAUUCCAAUGCUAAUGAAGGCA